Molecule: ribosomal RNA, 497 nt
Filed under: uncultured bacterium
Lineage: Bacteria
Description: partial 16S ribosomal RNA
Rfam family: Bacterial small subunit ribosomal RNA
Source: RNAcentral
GAUGAACGCUGGCGGCGUGCCUAAUACAUGCAAGUCGAGCGAACGGACGAGAAGCUUGCUUCUCUGAUGUUAGCGGCGGACGGGUGAGUAACACGUGGAUAACCUACCUAUAAGACUGGGAUAACUUCGGGAAACCGUAGCUAAUACCGGAUAAUAUUUUGAACCGCAUGGUUCAAAAGUGAAAGACGGUCUUGCUGUCACUUAUAGAUGGAUCCGCGGUGCAUUAGCUAGUUGGUAAGGUAACGGCUUACCAAGGCAACGAUGCAUAGCCGACCUGAGAGGGUGAUCGGCCACACUGGAACUAAGACACGGUCGCGACUCCUGCGGGUAGCAGGAGUAGGGAAUCUUCCACAAUGGGCGAAAGCCUGACGGUGCAACGCCGCGUGAGUGAUGAAGGUCUUCGGAUCGUAAAACUCUGUUAUUAGGGAGGAACAUAUGUGUAAGUAACUGUGCACAUCUUGACGAUACCUAAUCAGAAAGCCACGGCUAACUACGUG